Molecule: ribosomal RNA, 266 nt
Filed under: uncultured archaeon
Lineage: Archaea
Description: partial 16S ribosomal RNA
Rfam family: Archaeal small subunit ribosomal RNA
Source: RNAcentral
ACACGACUACAUUAGAUACCCGGGUAGUCCAGGGUGUAAACGCUGCGGGCUUGGUGUUGGGGGUCCCUUUGAGGGCGCCCAGUGCCGGAGAGAAGUUGUUAAGCCUGCUGCUUGGGGAGUACGUCCGCAAGGAUGAAACUUAAAGGAAUUGGCGGGGGAGCACCACAACGGGUGGAGCUUGCGGUUUAAUUGGAUUCAACGCCGGAAAUCUUACCGGGACCGACAGCAACAUGAAGGCCAAGCUGAAGACUUUGCCGGAUUAGCUG